UACGGAGGGUGCAAGCGUUAUCCGGAUUCACUGGGUUUAAAGGGUGCGUAGGCGGGCUUGUAAGUCAGUGGUGAAAGCCCGGAGCUCAACUCCGGAACUGCCUUUAAGACUGCAUCGCUUGAACGUCGGAGAGGUAAGUGGAAUUCCGAGUGUAGAGGUGAAAUUCGUAGAUAUUCGGAAGAACACCAGUGGCGAAGGCGACUUACUGGACGACUGUUGACGCUGAGGUGCGAAAGCGUGGGGAGCAAACAGG
Molecule: ribosomal RNA, 253 nt
Filed under: uncultured bacterium
Lineage: Bacteria
Description: partial 16S ribosomal RNA
Rfam family: Bacterial small subunit ribosomal RNA
Source: RNAcentral